GACGAACGCUGGCGGCGUGCUUAACACAUGCAAGUCGAACGGAAAGGCCCUGCUUUUGUGGGGUGCUCGAGUGGCGAACGGGUGAGUAACACGUGAGUAACCUGCCCUUGACUUUGGGAUAACUUCAGGAAACUGGGGCUAAUACCGGAUAGGAGCUCCUGCUGCAUGGUGGGGGUUGGAAAGUUUCGGCGGUUGGGGAUGGACUCGCGGCUUAUCAGCUUGUUGGUGGGGUAGUGGCUUACCAAGGCUUUGACGGGUAGCCGGCCUGAGAGGGUGACCGGCCACAUUGGGACUGGGAUACGGCCCAGACGCCUACGGGAGGCAGCAGUGGGGAAUAUUGCACAAUGGGCGGAAGCCUGAUGCAGCAACGCCGCGUGCGGGAUGACGGCCUUCGGGUUGUAAACCGCUUUCGCUUGUGACGAAGCGUGAGUGACGGUAAUGGGUAAAGAAGCACCGGCUAACUACGUG
RNAcentral lists this ribosomal RNA (468 nucleotides) under uncultured bacterium. Its description in RNAcentral is "partial 16S ribosomal RNA". It matches the Rfam family "Bacterial small subunit ribosomal RNA", at positions 28 to 507 of the family's 1533-position model. The record is from RNAcentral.